This 481-nucleotide ribosomal RNA is filed under the name uncultured bacterium. RNAcentral's name for it is "partial 16S ribosomal RNA". It matches the Rfam family "Bacterial small subunit ribosomal RNA", at positions 28 to 507 of the family's 1533-position model. The record is from RNAcentral.
GAUGAACGCUGGCGGCGUGCUUAACACAUGCAAGUCGAACGAAGCACUUUAUUUGAUUUCCUUCGGGACUGAUUAUUUUGUGACUGAGUGGCGGACGGGUGAGUAACGCGUGGGUAACCUGCCUUGUACAGGGGGAUAACAGUUGGAAACGGCUGCUAAUACCGCAUAAGCGCACGGCAUCGCAUGAUGCAGUGUGAAAAACUCCGGUGGUAUAAGAUGGACCCGCGUUGGAUUAGCUAGUUGGUGAGGUAACGGCCCACCAAGGCGACGAUCCAUAGCCGACAUGAGAGAGUGACCGGCCACAUUGGGACUGAGACACGGCCCAAACUCCUACGGGAGGCAGCAGUGGGGAAUAUUGCACAAUGGGCGAAAGCCUGAUGCAGCGACGCCGCGUGAGCGAAGAAGUAUUUCGGUAUGUAAAGCUCUAUCAGCAGGGAAGAUAAUGACGGUACCUGACUAAGAAGCACCGGCUAAAUACGUG